Macrosteles quadrilineatus (aster leafhopper) is the source of this 1364-nucleotide long non-coding RNA. RefSeq lists it as uncharacterized. The record is from RefSeq and is a predicted model, not a curated record. The transcript has 2 exons. Lineage: Eukaryota; Metazoa; Arthropoda; Insecta; Hemiptera; Cicadellidae.
GGUGUUGCGGCGUUCAGUUACCGUUGUCGGUUGAUCAGUUCAGUUUCCAGUUGUAGUCUCGAGUCGGACGUUGCCGCGUUGUCCAGACAGGAUGCGUUAUUCUAAUUCUAGUUCGUUUCAGAAGUUAUCGUUGCUCUAAUGCUCUGGUAGCGUUGCGGCAACGGCACUAACUAAUGGCAAUGCAUGUUUUCGUUUUCGUUGUCCGCGGUCCGCGCGGCUUUCCUGCAACAUUGUGUUGGUAGAUACGUUAUUAUAAUAACAGGGAGUUCUCGGCAACGUGUUGCCGCGAUAACGUUGCCGUGGCCGCAACACUGUUAUUCAUCCUGUUAUGUUAAAUAACGCCCAUCUCUACAGUGUUUAGUUGAGAGUAACUGCAGAGGCUAACUGCACAGUUAUCAUCACACUUAAUGAUAAGCUUGAUUUGACCAACAAGAGCAAAUAGGAAGAAACAGGAAUUGCUUUUCAAGUGCUUGAUAGUAGAUACAAAUUACUGUAGACUUGCUCAAGAGAGUAAUGUUGCAUGUUUAGAGUUGAACAGGAAAGGAUAUUAAAACAUGGAGGAUGAAGAUUUAAAACGGUUGCUGGAUCGGAUAGAGGUGCUGUAUGCGGUGCCACAGCUCUGUCCUAAUGAAAUGUGUAUGGUUGUUACCUUCUUGGAUAAUCACUCUAAGUACUGUGUUUACAGACAGAUAAAGUGUACCAAUUGUCAAUGGUUUGGAGCCGUCAUUGAGUGGAUUGAACAUGUUAAAACACACAAUUCCAGUGUUCUAAAAUUAAAUGUCACCAAAUGCUUAUACAUCAAUGAUUUCCUGGACGGUUGGAAAUCUAAGUAUUUCAAUUAUCCAAUUGAAGACCAACAUUUUAUUUUUAAAUGUUGGAAGAAAGGAAACAAAUUGUAUCACAGCUUCAGACAUGUUAUGUGUGAGAGAUCUAGUGUUGAGUACAGUGUGAUAUUUGAGUACAAUCGUUGCCAGCAAACUGUGUAUAGAACUUUGAUUGAAGUCUUGCCAUAUGAGGAUGAUGAGUCCAUGGAGAACAAUGCAGCGGUUUUUCCUAUUGACGAAUUAGAGGAACUGGUUGAUGAGGAUGGCCAUUUGCCAGUCUUUGUCACAGUAAAAUCUAAAUCGUUUUUUUUAUUAAAGUGAAAUAACUAUGUAAAACUUUUUGUUGCAUAUUUGUAUAAGAAAUGAAAUAACACAAUUGCGAGGCAUUUUUUUCUACAUUAGCAUAUAUGCAUUAUAAUUAUAUUAAUCAGAGGUAUGGUAUAGCAUAUUAUUUUUCUUGUUUUGUAUUCAUUAAAAAACCUUGGGGAAUGUUUUGCUUUAGGGUAAAAAAGAAUGUACAAUAAAAAGUUUUUUUCUUGA